Molecule: non-coding RNA, 692 nt
Organism: Theobroma cacao (cacao)
Lineage: Eukaryota; Viridiplantae; Streptophyta; Magnoliopsida; Malvales; Malvaceae
Source: RefSeq, a predicted model, not a curated record
CAUGAAAAGUUAAUUUUUUUUCAUUUUCUUUCCUUGUUUUCUUUUCAUUUUCUUUCUCUUCUUGCUUCUUCCUUCUCCCAACUCCUUGUGCACCAAAGUUACAAAUUCUAACCCUAAAUUUCAGCACUUCCAAACCCAAGAAGAAAGAAAGAAAAAUCUUUCUUUCUUUCCUUUAUCUUCUAUUUCUACUUCACUUUUAACAACACUUGGAUUUUUGGCUUCAAAUCUUCAUUUUCAAGGUUGAAAGCGAGAAACUCUCAAGGUUCUUGCCGCCAGAAUCUUGUUGCAGCGAGAAUCCACUCUCACUGCAAUGAGAAACCUUCUGUCAUGGUUACUACCUUGCUUGGUUUCUGCCAUAUUUUCUACUUCUUUAACCUCACGGUUUUUCUGAAUUAAAGGUAAUUGGAUCCUAUGACGAGGUGCUCCUCCCUAUCCAUUGCUCGGUAGAUUUCACAUGACACUAAACAUUAACAACCGUACCCAAAGUGACUCCGCUAAUGGUCAAGGUCCAAUUAUGUGUAUAUGAAUGCUUGUUGUGAAAUGCUAAGAUUCAUUUGUCAAGGUAUAUAUGUACAUUAUGGUUGAUGAUGCUAUUCUUAAUGCAAAAUGGGGUUUUAUGAAUUGUUUUCAAAGGAAUCAUAUUUGAACCUUAUGAAUUUUGGAUUUCAAAGAAAUAUAUAAGAUUAUAUAAA